GGAGGGUUGUCCGAGCGGCCUAUGGUGACGGUCUUGAAAACCGUUGUCCGCGCAAGCGGACCGUGGGUUCGAAUCCCACACCCUCCG
RNAcentral lists this transfer RNA (87 nucleotides) under Dehalogenimonas formicexedens. It matches the Rfam family "tRNA". Rfam says of the family: Transfer RNA (tRNA) molecules are approximately 80 nucleotides in length. Lineage: Bacteria; Bacillati; Chloroflexota; Dehalococcoidia; Dehalococcoidales; Dehalococcoidaceae. The record is from Rfam by way of RNAcentral.